AGUAAAGUAAGCUAAAAAAGCUCUGGGGCCCAUACCCCGAAAACGAUGGUGGAAAUCCAUCCUUUAUUA
Molecule: transfer RNA, 69 nt
Filed under: Poeciliopsis hnilickai (Upper Grijalva livebearer)
Lineage: Eukaryota; Metazoa; Chordata; Actinopteri; Cyprinodontiformes; Poeciliidae
Description: tRNA-Met
Source: RNAcentral